AUAUAUGUUCUAGCCUAUGCUCUAUAGCUUUCAUUUCACUUCAUUUACAAACUGAAAAUUGUCGAGCUCCGGUGAAAACAAACAUUUUUCCAACAAACAAAUUAAAAUUAAAAACUCAACCAUGAGUACCAGCACAAAUCAGCUUGGACUGCGGAUCUGUCAGCUUAUUCAGAGCCAAAGCCAGCCAAUUAACUAUGAACGACUUAUAUCUCUAAUCGAAGAAGGACAAAACGAGCCGUUGAAUACACAGGAAAUAACCAAAAUAAAUGCCGCAUUGCGAGCUGGCCUGCGCCGUGGCUUUUUUCAACGCGUUCGUGGAAAGUUUUCUGUGUCUCCCUGCCUUCAAUAAGUUUCAAGUAGAAAGAAGCACAAGAAGAUGAAGCUCAAACAGAAUCAAAAUUAAAGCAGAAUAAGCUGAAUAUAUUUGUUGAGAUUUGUAGUCAAAAAAUAUAAUUGUAAAUGUAUCUACCCCAA
Drosophila guanche is the source of this 474-nucleotide long non-coding RNA. RefSeq lists it as uncharacterized. The transcript has 2 exons. The record is from RefSeq and is a predicted model, not a curated record. Lineage: Eukaryota; Metazoa; Arthropoda; Insecta; Diptera; Drosophilidae.